UACAGAGGUGGCAAGCGUUGUUCGGAAUUACUGGGCGUAAAGGGCGCGUAGGCGGUUCGUUAAGUCCUGUGUGAAAUCCCCCGGCUCAACUGGGGAACUGCACAGGAAACUAGCGGGCUUGAGUUCGGGAGAGGGAAGCGGAAUUCCGGGUGUAGCGGUGAAAUGCUUAGAUAUCGUCAAGAACACCUAUAGCGAAGGCAGCUUACUAGGCUGUAACUGACGCUGAGGCACGAAAGUGUGGGGAUCAAACAGG
RNAcentral lists this ribosomal RNA (253 nucleotides) under uncultured bacterium. RNAcentral's name for it is "partial 16S ribosomal RNA". It matches the Rfam family "Bacterial small subunit ribosomal RNA", at positions 524 to 776 of the family's 1533-position model. The record is from RNAcentral.